Molecule: ribosomal RNA, 449 nt
Filed under: uncultured bacterium
Lineage: Bacteria
Description: bacterial SSU rRNA
Rfam family: Bacterial small subunit ribosomal RNA
Source: RNAcentral
CGCCAGACUCCUACGGGAGGCAGCAGUGGGGAAUAUUGCACAAUGGGGGAAACCCUGAUGCAGCGACGCCGCGUGAGUGAAGAAGUAUUUCGGUAUGUAAAGCUCUAUCAGCAGGGAAGAAGUUGACGGUACCUGAGUAAGAAGCCCCGGCUAACUACGUGCCAGCAGCCGCGGUAAUACGUAGGGGGCAAGCGUUAUCCGGAUUUACUGGGUGUAAAGGGAGCGUAGACGGCAGUGCAAGUCUGAAGUGAAAGCCCCGGGCUUAACCCGGGAACUGCUUUGGAAACUGUACGGCUGGAGUGCUGGAGGGGUAAGCGGAAUUCCUAGUGUAGCGGUGAAAUGCGUAGAUAUUAGGAGGAACACCAGUGGCGAAGGCGGCUUACUGGACAGUAACUGACGUUGAGGCUCGAAAGCGUGGGGAGCAAACAGGAUUAGAUACCCCUGUACUC